UACAGAGGGGGCAAGCGUUGUUCGGAAUUACUGGGCGUAAAGGGCGCGUAGGCGGCCCGCUAAGUCGAACGUGAAAUCCCCAGGCUUAACCUGGGAACUGCAUCCGAUACUGGAUGGCUUGAAUCCGGGAGAGGGAUGCGGAAUUCCAGGUGUAGCGGUGAAAUGCGUAGAUAUCUGGAGGAACACCGGUGGCGAAGGCGGCAUCCUGGACCGGCAUUGACGCUGAGGAGCGAAAGCCAGGGGAGCAAACGGG
RNAcentral lists this ribosomal RNA (253 nucleotides) under uncultured bacterium. RNAcentral's name for it is "partial 16S ribosomal RNA". It matches the Rfam family "Bacterial small subunit ribosomal RNA", at positions 524 to 776 of the family's 1533-position model. The record is from RNAcentral.